CCGACCUCGGGCAGGAACAGGCUGCCGCUGUCGUCACCGGCGGUCAGGGUCGCCACCCGGGCCCAGUGCUCGGUCCCCUCGUCCAGGCCGGG
RNAcentral lists this transfer RNA (92 nucleotides) under Actinoplanes italicus. Its description in RNAcentral is "tRNA-Asp". Lineage: Bacteria; Bacillati; Actinomycetota; Actinomycetes; Micromonosporales; Micromonosporaceae. The record is from RNAcentral.